GUACCGUCAGUACCGUCCAGUCGGAUCGACCUCGAAAACAACUCCGAGUCCUGAUCGACAGGAACAGGGUUCGUGCUCGGCAUCUUCAAGCAAGAAUAUAGAGAAAUUAACUUCAGAAGCAGGGAAAUAAUAUGCAGAAACGAAGGUCCAAAUACAGGCUAAAAGUUCUUCAAGAGAGAACAAUUUUAAACCCCUAAAACCAAUGAACAACAAGGAAUAUAAUUUGAACCACCGAAAGGAAAAGUUUUGAAGUCCUAAAUUCGUUACUCAUGCUAGAAUCAACUACAAACACAAAUUUCUCCCUGUUACCCCACGCAAAUUGGAUGAAACACAAAAAUCUCUCUCUCUUUCUCUUGGAUCGAUGGGUGCAACAACAAAACAGCGAUGGAUGCAAACAAGAAAAGAGAUUUACUUGUGAUACAACGCUUUCUUUCGAUGCCUUUCUGCACAGAGCUACGAUCUCUGCAACGAGAAAGGAAGGAACCCAAACUCAGGGGAGCUGGGGUUUAUAUAGGGGUCGAGCUAGGUCGGGCUUCACUCUGGGGUUAGUUGACCUUGGACUGUGGUUAAGUGUUGGGUUAACGUGUUUG
This 590-nucleotide long non-coding RNA is filed under the name Actinidia chinensis (golden kiwifruit). RNAcentral's name for it is "long non-coding RNA (ACHI_LNC004619)". Lineage: Eukaryota; Viridiplantae; Streptophyta; Magnoliopsida; Ericales; Actinidiaceae. The record is from RNAcentral.